GCCCCCGUAGCUCAGCUGGAUAGAGCGACGGCCUUCUAAGCCGUGGGUCGCAGGUUCGAAUCCUGCCGGGGGCG
RNAcentral lists this transfer RNA (74 nucleotides) under Solirubrobacterales bacterium. RNAcentral's name for it is "tRNA-Arg". It matches the Rfam family "tRNA". Rfam says of the family: Transfer RNA (tRNA) molecules are approximately 80 nucleotides in length. Their secondary structure includes four short double-helical elements and three loops (D, anti-codon, and T loops). Further hydrogen bonds mediate the characteristic L-shaped molecular structure. tRNAs have two regions of fundamental functional importance: the anti-codon, which is responsible for specific mRNA codon recognition, and the 3' end, to which the tRNAs corresponding amino acid is attached (by aminoacyl-tRNA synthetases). tRNAs cope with the degeneracy of the genetic code in two manners: having more than one tRNA (with a specific anti-codon) for a particular amino acid; and 'wobble' base-pairing, i.e. permitting non-standard base-pairing at the 3rd anti-codon position. Lineage: Bacteria; Bacillati; Actinomycetota; Thermoleophilia; Solirubrobacterales. RNAcentral also lists the same sequence under 3 other names. The record is from RNAcentral.